CAGCCGCAAGUGGAUAAUAUUAAUAGUGUAAAAAUAUGCAAGUGUUCGGUAAACAGGAAGUUGUCGAGUGAUGAAUCUGAAAACGCAUCACACGGUAUAGCUGACUUAUAAAAAUCCUGAAACCAAAUUUCAGAAAUCCUUGUAUUGUAGUUCCUGAGAAAAAUGUGACGAAAAUUUUUAACUUGGUUAUCAUGUGUAAAAUCAUACAAGUGUUCGGUAAACAGGAAGUUGUCGAGUGAUGAAUCUGAAAACGCAUCACACGGUAUAUCUGACUUAUAUAAAUCCUGAAACCAAAUUUCAGAAAUCCUUGUAUUGUAGUUCCUGAGAAAAAUGUGACGAAAAUUUUCAACUUGGCUAUCAUGUGUAAAAUCAGACAAGUGUUCGGUAAACAGGAAGUUGUCAAGUGAUGAAUCUGAAAACGCAUCACACGGUAUGGCUGACAUAUAUAAAUGUUGAUACCAAAUUACAGAAAGGGUGGAUGUGUAGUUCCUGAGAAAAAUGUGACGAAAGUUUCAUGGGACGGACUGACUGACGGACGGACUGACGGACGGACGGACAGACAGACAGAGGUAAAACAGUAUACCCCCCCUUUUUUAAAGCGGGGGUAUAAUUACUAAGAAAUA
Molecule: long non-coding RNA, 623 nt
Filed under: Mytilus galloprovincialis (Mediterranean mussel)
Lineage: Eukaryota; Metazoa; Mollusca; Bivalvia; Mytilida; Mytilidae
Source: RNAcentral